RNAcentral lists this unclassified non-coding RNA (286 nucleotides) under uncultured fungus. Its description in RNAcentral is "partial contains 5.8S ribosomal RNA, internal transcribed spacer 2, and large subunit ribosomal RNA". Lineage: Eukaryota; Fungi. The record is from RNAcentral.
AACGCACCUUGCGCUCCCGGGCUAUUCCUGGGAGCAUGUUCGUUGGAGUGUCGCGUACCUCUCAACCCCGCCUUGUCACCAAGGUAGACACUUAGGGUUGGAUCGUGGCCCGUGUGCUUCGCCGAAAGGCAAAGCUGGGCUGAAUGACAAGAAGCUGUACCCACAGGCGGCUUGACCCGUUGUCGUAAAAUAAACUCAACAGGGAUCGCCAAGCGGGAUGGGCUUACCAUAAAUCAUCAUUAUACAUUUUGACCUCCAAUCGAGCAGGACUACCCCCUGAACUUAA